This is an RNA transcript of Oncorhynchus nerka (sockeye salmon), 1635 nucleotides long. It is a transcript of the gene named parkin RBR E3 ubiquitin protein ligase, with no coding region annotated. The transcript is spliced from 11 exons. NCBI's taxonomy places the organism in Eukaryota, Metazoa, Chordata, Actinopteri, Salmoniformes, Salmonidae. The record is from RefSeq and is a predicted model, not a curated record.
AAUGUAUGUAAAAUAUGUUGCAAUAUGAAACAGCUCAAAAUAUAUUUUGGACGCUGCCAGGUACAUUUAACUAGAUCAUAAUAAUACGGAAUCAAGUAGGACUCCAUCUCCCAUAGUCCUCGAGACUUGCAAAUACUGUAAUGGAGAUCCCCAGCAGUCGUAUGACAUGAAGUUCUUCACCUUAAUAAAACCAGAGGACGUAGCUACAUCCCCAGCAUGAUUGUGUAUGUAAGGUUUAACUCCAGCCAUGGCUUCCCAGUGGAGCUAGAGGAGGGGGCCAGCAUCGCAGUGCUGAAGGAGAAGGUGGGGAGGCUGCAGGGGGUACAGCCGGAGCAGCUGAGAGUCAUCUUUGCUGGCAGAGAGCUGCUCAGCGACUGCACCCUCCAGGGCUGUGACCUCCCAGAGCAGAGUACCGUGCACGUGGUGCUGCCUCCCCCGGGGUCGGGCCGGUGCUCUGACCUGGCCCUGCAGCACCGUCUGGGUCGAGGGGUGGACAGCCUCACCCGCCUGGACCUCACCGCCUCCCGCCUGCCCACUACCUCCACCGGCCUGGCUGUCAUACUGGAAACUGAUGACGAGCAGAGAGCCAGGGAAGAGCCUGAACACACAGAGCCCAGACCUCACAGCAGCUUCUAUGUGUACUGCAAGAGUGUGUGCCGGGCCAUCCAGCCGGGGAAGCUACGCGUGCGCUGCCGAGCCUGCAAGCAGGGAACCCUCACCUUGAGCCGGGGCCCGUCAUGUUGGGACGAUGUCCUCCUCCCAGAGCGUAUCCAUGGCGUCUGUCAAUCAGAGGGUUGCCUUGGCAGAGUAGCGGAGUUUUACCUGAAGUGUGCUGCCCACCCCACCUCUGAUGAUGACACGUCUGUGGCCCUGGACCUCGUCAUGCCCAAUGUGCGGGAUGUCCCAUGCAUUGCCUGCACAGAUAUCAUGAGUCCAGUGUUGGUGUCCCAGUGUCCAGACCGCCAUGUUAUUUGUCUAGACUGCUUCCACAUGUACUGUGUGACCCGCCUCAACGAGCGACAAUUCAUCCACCACCCAGAUGUCGGCUACUCACUUCCAUGUGCAGCUGGCUGCCCAGACUCUCUCAUAACGGAGUUGCAUCACUUCCGAGCCCUAGGUGAUGAACAGUAUGAGCGGUACCAGCAGUAUGCAGCCGAGGAGUGUCUCCUCCAGAUGGGAGGAGUGUUGUGUCCAGCCCCUGGAUGUGGAGCAGGCCUGCUGCCUGAGGAGGACAAGAGGAUGAUCCAGUGUCUGCUCAGCAACGGUUUGGGAUGCGGGUGCAUGUGUGUAUGUUUACCCUCUGAGGGUGCUGUCUGGGGUGCUGUGAUCCGUUGUGUUGCUCAGUGAAGGGAGGCGAGGGGAAAUAGGUUUGUCAGCCACCGGAAACCUGCUGCAACCCUUCAUGAGUCUUCCACACUCCACUGGGCAGCUCUGUCUCUGUACCAGCCACGCAACCCACCCACUGGCCAACCCUCAACCCAGCCGCAAACCUUCGCCCCACCCGGCCCCCGGCCCAACUCGGCUAGACAAAUGACUUCAACUUAGAGUUUGUGUUCUGCCGUGACUGUAAGGAAGGAUUCCAUGAGGGGGAAUGUCAUGUGAGGUCAUCACCUGUCUCAGGAGGAGCCCUGCAGG